GCGGUAGUAGCUCAGUGGUAGAGUGCCACCUUGCCAAGGUGGAUGUCGCGAGUCCGAAUCUCGUCUACCGCUCCA
This 75-nucleotide transfer RNA is filed under the name Bacillota bacterium. RNAcentral's name for it is "tRNA-Gly". It matches the Rfam family "tRNA". Rfam says of the family: Transfer RNA (tRNA) molecules are approximately 80 nucleotides in length. Their secondary structure includes four short double-helical elements and three loops (D, anti-codon, and T loops). RNAcentral also lists the same sequence under 15 other names. Lineage: Bacteria; Bacillati; Bacillota. The record is from RNAcentral.